Molecule: long non-coding RNA, 619 nt
Organism: Archocentrus centrarchus (flier cichlid)
Lineage: Eukaryota; Metazoa; Chordata; Actinopteri; Cichliformes; Cichlidae
Exons: 3
Source: RefSeq, a predicted model, not a curated record
UGAAAAAGCCUCGCCUCACUGACAGUGGAGUCUACACCUGCACCAUAUGCUACAAUGGUGAUUACAUCCUGCUACAAAAAUCAGUGAUACUCCAUGUUGAAGCUCGCAGGUAGACAACGGCACCAAGCACAGAGGAAGUGAGGAAUGAGAACCACGAAGGUGCUCCUCUAACGUAUAUUUCAUAAUUCAAGCUUCAUGGAUCUGUUGGUCAAAGUAGAGGAGGAGGAGCUGACGAUGAACAGGAGCCUCUGUCAGCUUGUUCUAUUAUAUCCUGUAUAAAGUGUUUGGUGUAUUCAGCUUGUUGAAGCUCCUCAGUGAGGCUCUGCCAUAUUUACUCUGAACCCAUGUCCUCACUGAGAAGCAUGAAGAUGCAGCUUUGCUUUGGCUUUCCUCUGCUCAUGGCUAACAGCUAACUAACCUCAGCCAGAUGUUCUCCAGCUGUUUUUCUCACAUUAGAACCUCAGAACAAUCAGAAUAUAGAGUGUGUUGCUCCUCACUGUCGCUGUGGUCUUUCCCGGUGUUCCUGAUGGAUCUCCAUGGAGCAUCUGGACUCUGUCACGUUAGUGUGGAGUCAGAGCUUCUGUGGAUGAAUGCUUCCAUCAAACAGGAAUAUUCUGGA